GACGUAGGGGGCGAGCGUUGUCCGGAGUUACUGGGCGUAAAGGGCCCGCAGGCGGGAGGGCACGUUUGUGGUGACAGCGCGUGGCUAAACUGCGCGAGGAUCACAAAGACGGCCGUUCUUGAGGGCCAGAGAGGGACCUGGAAGUCCGGGUGGAGCGGUGAAAUGCGUAGAGAUCCGGAGGAACACCAAAGGCGAAGGCAGGGUCCUGGCUGGUACCUGACGCUCGUGGGCGAAAGCUAGGGGAGCGAACGGG
Molecule: ribosomal RNA, 253 nt
Filed under: uncultured bacterium
Lineage: Bacteria
Description: partial 16S ribosomal RNA
Rfam family: Bacterial small subunit ribosomal RNA
Source: RNAcentral